GGUUAAAUGGAUUAAGGGCUGUGCAGGAUGUGCUUUGUUAAACAGAUGCUUGAAGGCAGCAUCCUCCCUAAGAAUCAUCACCACUCCCUAAUCUCAAGUACCCAGGGACACAAACACUGCGGAAGGCCGCAGGGACCUCUGCCUAGGAAAGCCAGAGACCUUCGUUCAAGUGUUUAUCUGCCGACCUUCUCUCCACUAUUAUCCUAUGACGCUGCCACAUCCCCCUCUCCGAGAAACACCCAAGAAUGAUCAAUAAAUACUAAGGGAACCCAGAGGCCGGUGGAGCCUCCGUAUGCUGAACGCCAGUUCCCUGGGCCCCCUUUAUUCUUUGUCUGUA
Long non-coding RNA from Homo sapiens (human), 337 nucleotides. RefSeq lists it as uncharacterized. Lineage: Eukaryota; Metazoa; Chordata; Mammalia; Primates; Hominidae. The record is from RefSeq and is a predicted model, not a curated record. The transcript is spliced from 2 exons.